ACAAAACGAAUAAAAGCUGUGAUGGACGGUUAAUUACAAACUGUGUUUCAGCAGAUGUGUAAGACUGACGGGGGAAAAGUUCAUUUAGCUGAUGUACAAUCAACUAACCAGAUGUUUUUCACAGCAAGUCCUGUUGAGAAAUCACAGCAGGGAAAGGUGGAACCAAUGACGUCUCAGUUUCAUCAUGUGUCCCAGUAAACCGUGAUCAUAAAACAGGGGUUCAACCUGCAGUAUAGUACAUGGUACAGGUGCAGUGCUUAACACCUUUAUAGACCACCGCCCAAUGUAAGGUUUAUGCCACACACACACACACACACACACACACACAGACAUAGUUGAAUAGCGUAGUGGUAAGACUACACACCUUUGGAACGGGAGUCAGCAUAAAGUGUUGAGGAACCAGGGCACCCUGAUGAGAAGUGGGCUACUGGAACAAGACGGCAUUGGUGGCGCUGUUGGAAUGCUACUACACAAGUUACCCAAGUGGAAAGGGCAUACAUGGAACGCCGUAACCAAGUGGCCGGCAUUGUAUAGAGGAGCUUCUGUACCAAAUAUGGCCUGGAAAUUAAAAUGGGAGCCAUACAGACGGACAAAAUGUUGGUGGCUAACCAACCGGGCAUGGUGGUGGAGGACAAGCAGAAGAAGAUGGCUGUAGUGAUAGACGUAGUGAUAUCGAAUGAUGGCAACGUCAGAAAGAAGGAACACGAGAAGCUGGAGAAGUACCAAGGGCUCUGGGAAGAGCUCCAGAAGAUGUGACAUGUACUGUUAGCAGUUUAGCAGUUGAAUGUUAAGCAUGUUAGAUGUUAAGCUUGACUACUUUCUGACUUCUCAGGAAAGUCCAGUGUGGCAGCUCAAAUCUGGGUAUAAAAACGUCAAUUCAGUUUGUUAUUUGAAUAAUAAAUAGUAUAUUUUUUAGUUUUAAACAAGCUUUUGACAUUGAUUUCUAAAAUAUUUGUGUUUCCUUGGUUUUAUGACAGGUGGUCUAAAUUUGUUAAUCACUGUCAAACACAAAACACAGAAAACGAGAAUUUGUGUUUUUUUUCUUCAAGCAUAAAAUCUGAAACAACCCCAAAAUUAAACUUUUAAUUUUAAUUGAAUCUAUUAUCUAUUUGUGGAAUAAUUUGUAAUGAAUGUUUUCAUCUGAUUUACUUUUAUUGUACAAACUGAACCAAGAACUGCAAAGUGUUAAAUAGUCCAACAUAAUAACUUUAAUCAAAAGCCAAAAUUCAGAUUGUGAAUGAACUUUUCUAUCAUUCUUGGAUUUUAGACAAAAAGUAAUUUCAAAACUCAUCAAGUGAUAAAAGACCGAUGCACGACAGACUUUCUGCCGCUGACGACUCGCUGCUCUCUCUUCAUUUAUUCCAAAGUGAUUACCGUUUCGCUUCAGCACAUUAGCCCUGCAAAUUCAAAGCUAACUUUCUUCGCACACUGGAUUUAGUAAUCCUCUGCUGCGUUCCUUCGCUUGCGAUCAUCAUUUUACGCUGUGCUGAACAAUGUACUCGCAAAGGUUAAUUCACUGUCCAAUUAUUUCAGCCAUGCAUGUUAAUGUCACCCCCCCAAGUCCUAAAGCUAUCUGCUGUCAUACAGUGUCAGUCAGGGCAUUGUGGCAGUUUAUUUGCUUCACACUUGGUGAAUCCUUUAAUUAAAUCGCCCUCGAUGCAAAUAAAAAGAGAUGCAUCAGCAGAGAUAAGGCAGAGAAUGAGCUGAAUCAGAAGUGUGUAUUUUAUAGGAACACUAAAGAUCCAAAUCUGCCUCCCUUGAGGAAAGGGUCAAUAUGUCAGGAGCAGGGUCGAGAUUAAUAUUACAGAUGUUUGUAUAAAUUUCCCAGAGGUGUAUAUUAGACUUGCUAGAUAUUUAUUGUACACUGACUUAAGAGACAUUUUCAUUUAGUUAGCUCAGUUUUAUGUACAUUUCUGGGUAAUGGAAUGAGGAAAAUAUCUUUCCUUCCACUACUGCGGACUCUUUAGAAAAUUCUGUUUCUGUUGCACGGUCAUGCUUUCUCCAUAACAAUGUGUUAUUCUCAAAGAGUGUGAGCUUUUUUAAUUUUUGUUUUUGUUUAUUAUUUAAAAUGCAUGUUCAGAUGUGUCGUGUCUUCUGUUGUUUGCUCAUCAUUGUUCAGAUUAUGACUCUUUUUUUCAUUGAGCGGCGAAGUUCUGUAAUCUGUAUGUACUCCAGCACAUUCACUUAGUAAAAGCUCAUUUGCAAAGUUGUUUAAGCAACUGCUGUAAAUCCUCUGUGGGAGGGUUUAAUGUUAAUAUAAAAGUACCUAGAUUUUAUUAAUGGUAAUACACAUCACCAAGUACAACACUGUGGUUAGCGGUUACGUUUUAUUUUUUUAGAUAACAGAGGAAUCACGUCUGUUUUCGAUACACCCACAAAAAAAUAAAUUAAUCAAUAAACAUAUUUUUGUUAAAUCAA
Molecule: long non-coding RNA, 2418 nt
Organism: Oreochromis niloticus (Nile tilapia)
Lineage: Eukaryota; Metazoa; Chordata; Actinopteri; Cichliformes; Cichlidae
Exons: 2
Source: RefSeq, a predicted model, not a curated record